AAAGAUCGACUUGAUUUCUAAUAUAACCCCUUCCAAAGAAAACUGGAAUAUCAGGGUUCGAGUCGUUCGCCUUUGGUUUGUGAGAGAUAUGAAAAAGGAUUAACUUCCUUACUCAUUGGAAAUGGUUUUAAUGAACAAUAAGGUUGUUUGAUUCCAUUUUUUUUGUUUUUAUCUUUUUUUUACCAAUAAUUUUCUGUUUAUGUUGUGUGUAACUAUAUGAAGGAGUUCAUUUUUUUUUAUAUAUAUGAAAGAAAUAAUUUGGCGCGAUUAUAUCAAUAAUUUUUGUUUGACUCCUUGGAAUUUUUUUUGUUUAUAUCCAAUUAAUUGUUUAUAAUUUUUUGUCUGGCUGUUAUUCUUUUUUUCUUUCAUUUUUAUAUUAUUUUAUCCGUAAUUGUAUUAGGCCAUUUUUUUCGAUAAAGAUGACACCGGUUGAAAUCGUUUCUGAUAUCUCCCAUUCGCAUCACGAAAUUUGGAGUAUCAAUGGUCGAAUCAUGGUUGAUUUAUUUUACAUUUCUAUCUUCAUUUAUAAUUAUAGCAAGUGUAUAUUCUUUGACCGAUAUAUAUAUAUUUUUUUUUGAAUGCAAUCAUAAUGAAUAACAAAUAAUUUUUUUUUUAUGCAAUCGAAAGGAGCAAUUUUUAAUUUCCUAAAUGAGAUAACCUUUUUUUUAGGAAACCAAAUCGAGAUCUUUUACAUCAAUUUUUUUUCUCUAAAUUAAUCAUAUCACUUAUUUAUAUUAUAAAAUGUUUUAUUAUCUAAAUUAAAGUUGUUCCUUUUAUUUGAUAGGGUGACCGAAUCAAUGCGUUGUAAGACGUACUCUCAUAUACAAGUAUGAGAAGGAGCUGAGGGAGGACCGUGUUUUUUCCAUUGGGAAUUUUAG
RNAcentral lists this long non-coding RNA (878 nucleotides) under Medicago truncatula (barrel medic). RNAcentral describes it as "long non-coding RNA (MTRU_LNC006958)". Lineage: Eukaryota; Viridiplantae; Streptophyta; Magnoliopsida; Fabales; Fabaceae. The record is from RNAcentral.